This is a long non-coding RNA of Cercocebus atys (sooty mangabey), 1748 nucleotides long. RefSeq lists it as uncharacterized. The transcript has 3 exons. Lineage: Eukaryota; Metazoa; Chordata; Mammalia; Primates; Cercopithecidae. The record is from RefSeq and is a predicted model, not a curated record.
UACAAAAAAAAAAAAAAAAGUCAAGUAACUUCUCCAAGACCCAUUUAAAACACACACAACCUAUUUGAAUGGCCCACAUCAAGAACAUUGACAACACCAAGUGCUGGUGACGAAGUGGAGCACCAAGAACUCUCUUUGCUGGUGGGAAUGCAACAUGGCACAGACCCUCUGGAAGACAGUUUGGAGAUUUCUUACAAAACUAACCAUACUCAUCAUAUGAUCCAGCAAUCAUGUGCCUUGGUAUUUACCCUAAGGAGUUGAAGAGUUGUAUUCACACAAAACCUGCACGCAGAUAUUUAUAGCAGCUUUAUUCCUAAUUACCAAAAUGAGGCAGCAAGCAAGAUGUCCUUCAGUGGGUGAAUGGAUACAUAAACUGGGUUACAUCCAGACAAUCGAAUAUUAUUCAGUGCUAAAAAGAAAUGAGCGAUCAAGCCAUGAAAAGAGAUGGAGGAAACUUGCAUGCCUAUUACUAAAUGAAAGCAAUUAAUCUGUAAAGGCUAUAUACUGUAUAAUUCCAACUAUAUGACAUUCUGGACAAGGCAAAACUAGAGACAGGAAAAAGAUCGGCAGUGUGGUUGCCAGGGUAAGGCAGGAAGGGAGGAAUGAACAGGCUGAGCACAUUUUUAGGACAGUGAAACUAUUCUGUAGGAUACUAUAAUGACAGAUACAUGUCACAGUCCACAGAAUGAACAAUACCAAGGGUGAACCAUAAUGUGAACUACGGACUUUGAGUGAUAAUGUUGGGUCAAUGUGGAUUCAUCAGUUACAAGAAUUGUACUACUCUUGUGGGGGAUGCAGAUGCUAGGAGAGGUUAUGUGGGUCCUAGGGCUGGGAGUCUACAGUUUAUCUCUGUACAUUUCCCUCUGUUUUACUGUAAGCCUAAAACUGCCCCCAAAAAGUUGUCUUUAAAAAAAAAAAAAAAAACAGCUAUCAACUCACAAAUCUCAUACAUAUUUUUCUUUAUUUUCUGGCUUAAACAAGGAAGGAAUAUUCUGAUGAUUACUUACUUUGGUUUUAAAGUCCCAGAUGAAGAAAAUUAUAUUAUGACAACCUUGUUUCAGAAAGCUUCUCAUGCUCUCUACCAAUUAGAUUAGGAUAAGCAGAAAGACUGAAAGGCGUAAGACAUGGUUCUCAGAAAUAAUAAACAACAGUGAACACACCUGCUAUUUACUUACUUCUUGCCAGGCGCUACAAAACACCUGAUGGAAAAUGAGGGAAAAGUGCUGGUCUCACAAAGGUCAUUUCAGCUUUAUCUGGGCCCACUGGCAAGUAAAUACCAGCAGAAUCCUUUUGGACCAAGGACAGAAAUAUGUAAAAUUCAGUACAAAUAAACAUAGAGAAAAAUUGGAAGGUCCUUCUGGAAAGUACUUAUUUCAACCCUCUCUCAGCCCAUCCCUGUGAAGGUUCAGGGGAUUAAAGUCUUCCAUCUCUAGCCAAGAAGAGGACCCAUCAAAAAUUAUAUCCUAAGGAGUCACAUGGCAUCACUUCUGCACUGUUCCACUGAUCAUUCAGACCAAUCCUGAUAUCGUCUGGGAGGGGAUUACACGGAGUGUGACAGACAGGAGGCAGAGAUCAUUGCAAGCCAUCUUAAAGGCAGGCUACCACAACUACACCUCCAGGUAAUGAACUAUUAAUAUUUGCUUUAAAACUCUGAAUCCUUGUUUCAAGUAACCUCUUUUCCCUAAUGCAUUCAAGUUUAUAUUACCCUUGGGAAUUGAGCUGAGAUCCAGCCACUGCACUCCAGCCUG